CACGUAGGCGGAUAUUUAAGUCAGGGGUGAAAUCCCAGAGCUCAACUCUGGAACUGCCUUUGAUACUGGGUAUCUUGAGUAUGGAAGAGGUAAGUGGAAUUCCGAGUGUAGAGGUGAAAUUCGUAGAUAUUCGGAGGAACACCAGUGGCGGAGGCGGCUUACUGGUCCAUUACUGACGCUGAGGUGCGAAAGCGUGGGGAGCAAACA
RNAcentral lists this ribosomal RNA (207 nucleotides) under uncultured bacterium. RNAcentral describes it as "partial 16S ribosomal RNA". It matches the Rfam family "Bacterial small subunit ribosomal RNA", at positions 568 to 774 of the family's 1533-position model. The record is from RNAcentral.